RNAcentral lists this unclassified non-coding RNA (199 nucleotides) under soil metagenome. RNAcentral describes it as "partial contains 5.8S ribosomal RNA, internal transcribed spacer 2, and large subunit ribosomal RNA". The record is from RNAcentral.
AACGGUCUAUACCUGCGGUACCUGCGGAGGGAUCAUUAUCAAUUUACAGCGGACUUCGGUCCUGUCUGCACCCUUGUCUUUUGCGUACUAUAUGUUUCCUCGGUGGGCUUGCCUGCCGAUAGGACACUUAUAAACUCUUUCGUAAUUGCAAUCAGCGUCAGAAAACUAUAAUAGUUACAACUUUUAGCAAUGGAUCUCU